ACAGGAAGAGGCUAAGAUGGAGAAGCUAGCUGCAGUAGCUAUUGAAGCACAAAAGGUUAAGCUUGAUGAGCUAGCACGUGAAGGUAUCCAACACUACAGUGAUGGUCUAGCUGUCCAGAAGCGAGUUGAGCACCUUGCUAGUGAUAAGGAGAUGCUACAACGUAAACUGGCGUCCAUUCGAACUCAGUAUUACCAAUUUCAAGCGGCCAAUCGAAAGCCUCCUUCAACAUCCCAACAACAACCUUGACUCUAUAAAUUUUCCUUUUAGUCUCCAGUUUUUUUUUUUAUUCUCUUUUGGAUGUCGUAAUUGUAAAUCUUUUAACACUAGCAACUGUCAAACAAUUUCGUACAUGCCUUUUGAAUGCAUGCCCGUUUUGGCUUUUUAAUGCUGCA
Molecule: long non-coding RNA, 393 nt
Filed under: Trifolium pratense (red clover)
Lineage: Eukaryota; Viridiplantae; Streptophyta; Magnoliopsida; Fabales; Fabaceae
Description: long non-coding RNA (TPRA_LNC004172)
Source: RNAcentral